Molecule: transfer RNA, 76 nt
Filed under: Candidatus Nealsoniibacteriota bacterium
Lineage: Bacteria; Candidatus Nealsoniibacteriota
Description: Candidatus Nealsonbacteria bacterium tRNA-Lys
Rfam family: tRNA
About the family: Transfer RNA (tRNA) molecules are approximately 80 nucleotides in length. Their secondary structure includes four short double-helical elements and three loops (D, anti-codon, and T loops). Further hydrogen bonds mediate the characteristic L-shaped molecular structure. tRNAs have two regions of fundamental functional importance: the anti-codon, which is responsible for specific mRNA codon recognition, and the 3' end, to which the tRNAs corresponding amino acid is attached (by aminoacyl-tRNA synthetases). tRNAs cope with the degeneracy of the genetic code in two manners: having more than one tRNA (with a specific anti-codon) for a particular amino acid; and 'wobble' base-pairing, i.e. permitting non-standard base-pairing at the 3rd anti-codon position.
Source: RNAcentral
GCCCCCAUAGCUUAACUGGAAAAGCAGCUGCCUCUUAAGCAGACGAGUCCAGGUUCGAGUCCUGGUGGGGGCACCA